This 507-nucleotide long non-coding RNA is filed under the name Eutrema salsugineum. Its description in RNAcentral is "long non-coding RNA (ESAL_LNC000750)". The record is from RNAcentral. Lineage: Eukaryota; Viridiplantae; Streptophyta; Magnoliopsida; Brassicales; Brassicaceae.
CAUAAUAGGGGAAGUUGAUGAAGAUGGCGAGAAUAGUUUGGAUGGGACUCCUGCAAGGUACCAUGGAUUUUCAUCUGUCUUUUUUUUGGUACUACAUACAUUCAAGUAAUCCUCAAGUUUCUGUGGUAUCUAAGUUUUGUUUAAAUCAGAAAAAUAGUUUACUUUCGGAUUUUUUACUUAUAGAUCGAUACAUACUGAUAGAUAACAAAUGAAUUGUAGAACUGUGUUGAAGUAAAGUCGGUGUAGGCAGAAUUAAUAACUUGUUUGAGGAGUUUAAUGGAGACUAACUUUUGUGCUCUUAGCAGGAAAAAGAGGAAACCUGAAGAAUUGAGUUCCAAUGGCCUUUCGAAGAAGAAGAACAAGAAGAAUAAGGUCAAAACAACGUCAUAAGUCUGAUCUGAUUUCUCUCUCUCUCUCUCUUUUGUUCUUCAUGUUUUGUGUAUUUCACUUUGUACUCUGUAUUUCAAUUCAUGGGCUCAGUUUUGAUAUUAUUUAACGAUGAUAAGA